RNAcentral lists this ribosomal RNA (381 nucleotides) under Triticum aestivum (bread wheat). RNAcentral describes it as "partial small subunit ribosomal RNA". The record is from RNAcentral. Lineage: Eukaryota; Viridiplantae; Streptophyta; Magnoliopsida; Poales; Poaceae.
AUGAAAUGGAAGGAAACAAAUACCGGUCCUUUCUCCCCAACUAUCUGCAAUUCAUCGGAGCUGCUAUCUCCCACACUCCCCUUGUCCUCCCCGAUGGUAAUCGCCUUCUCAGGGUCACCAUCUAGAACCACACAAUCAUCAUCAUCCUCAUCAUCACCACCACCGCCCCCGCCGCCGCCGCCAGGGUUGGCCUUCUUCUGUGGCGGCGAGAACUCACCCAUCACCACAAGAUCAAAGAAAUCGUCUCCAUUUGGCUCAUCAUCAUUCAAAAGCUUCCCAAGCCAGUCGUCAACUGGCUUCCUGGGCAUGGGAAGGUCCUCCUCGUCGGAGCUGAUCUCCACAAAAUCCACGACCGACCCCAUCCAGCCCCCCGAACCCUAA